ACAAACCGCCCUACAGGAGAAUCAUUUCUAUAGUAUUCGUCUCUUGCUUUGGUUCCCAAAAGAGCCAUCGAAUCCACCCUGGUUGAUGAUUGUAUAUCCUCGAUGCCCAAGAGUGAAUUUUUAUGGUCCUCUCGCCCUGUCCGCAAGGAUGGCGGCAGUUGCCUUUGUGCUUCUGCUGUAUAGAGAGUUGUUUUUUCUCUUGAUGAUCUCGACCCUGCCGGUGGUCUGCCUUCGGGCGCGCUGGUAGGGUGGGUGUCGAUGGACGUCUGACAGGC
Trichoderma virens Gv29-8 is the source of this 275-nucleotide non-coding RNA. Lineage: Eukaryota; Fungi; Ascomycota; Sordariomycetes; Hypocreales; Hypocreaceae. The record is from Rfam.